Molecule: ribosomal RNA, 292 nt
Filed under: uncultured bacterium
Lineage: Bacteria
Description: partial 16S ribosomal RNA
Rfam family: Bacterial small subunit ribosomal RNA
Source: RNAcentral
GUGCCAGCCGCCGCGGUAAAACGUAGGAGACGAACGUUAUCCGGAGUUACUGGGCGUAAAGGGCGUGCAGGCGGCUUGAUAAGUUCGGCGUGAAAUUUCCCGGCUUAACCGGGGGAUGUCGUCGGAGACUGUCGAGCUAGAGGGUGAUAGAGGCGUGUGGAAUUCCGGGUGUAGUGGUGAAAUGCGUAGAGAUCCGGAGGAACACCAGUGGCGAAGGCGACACGCUGGGUCAUACCUGACGCUAAAACGCGACAGCAUGGGGAGCGAACGGGAUUAGAAACCCGGGUAGUCC